CAUUGUCGAGACCAAAAUCGAGCAAAUUUGGAAAACCUGUGAACUAUCGUUUUGGCGCCGGCAUCUGUCGUCGCCUGGCACCCGUCCGCCGACAGCCGCUCCUCCGUCGGAGUAGCGGCAUGCGUGCUGGAUGGGAGAAAAAAAAUCCGGCGCAGCUAUGCGCCAAGGUAUAUAUAAAUUGAGAGCAUCCGCGGCACGCCUGCGAAGCCCUUGCGAGCUUCGCGGACUGUUGUCGCUGCUUCAUAUCAUUAUCGUAUGACUCUCGGCAAUGGAUAUCUUGGCUCUUGCAUCGAUGAAGAGCGCAGCGAAAUGCGAUACGUGGUGCGAAUUGCAGAAUCCCGUGAACCAUCGAGUUUUUGAACGCAAGUUGCGCCUGAGGCCAACUGGCCGAGGGCACGUCCGCCUGGGCGUCAUGCAUUAAGUCGCUCCGUCUACCGCUGUCCCCGAUUUUUCGGUGCGACCGUGGUUUGCUCGGACGCGGAGGGUGGCCCGUCGUGCGUGCUGCUGCGCGGCGGGCUGAAGAGCGGUCCGUUUUUCCUCCUGGACAUGGUCGGUAAGGGGUGGAUGAGAGCUGCCUCCGGGCGCGCAUUAGCACUGCCGUGCCAUUUAUAUCGAGGAAUCCGACUAACAUCCUAGGCGGGCCUUGCUCACGGGCAGCGGGGCUUCGUCUUCAAAUGCGACCCCAGGAUGGGCGGGAU
Molecule: ribosomal RNA, 698 nt
Filed under: Microtis arenaria
Lineage: Eukaryota; Viridiplantae; Streptophyta; Magnoliopsida; Asparagales; Orchidaceae
Description: eukaryotic LSU rRNA
Rfam family: 5.8S ribosomal RNA (bases 258-413)
Source: RNAcentral